RNAcentral lists this ribosomal RNA (1558 nucleotides) under Petaurista caniceps (gray-headed giant flying squirrel). RNAcentral describes it as "Petaurista elegans caniceps 16S ribosomal RNA". It matches the Rfam family "Bacterial large subunit ribosomal RNA". Lineage: Eukaryota; Metazoa; Chordata; Mammalia; Rodentia; Sciuridae. The record is from RNAcentral.
ACUAAUUCUAGCCCAUAACCUUAUAAAUAUAACAACACAAUUCUAAUUUAAACAAAACAUUUACUUAGUUAAAGUAUAGGAGAUAGAAAUUACAAUAAGCGAGCAAUAGAAACAGUACCGUAAGGGAAAGAUGAAAGAAUAAUAAAUAGUAAAGAAAAGCAAAGACUAACUCUUCUACCUUUUGCAUAAUGAAUUAACUAGAAAACUCUUAACAAAAAGAAUUUUAGCUAAGAACCCCGAAACCAAGCGAGCUACUUAUGAGCAAUUAUUAGAAUCAACCCAUCCAUGUAGCAAAAUGGUGGGAAGACUUAUAAGUAGAAGUGAAAGACCUAACGAGCAUGGUGAUAGCUGGUUGUCCAGACUAGAAUUUCAGUUCAACUUUAAGUUUACCCAAAGCAAUCUUAAUCCCAAUGUAAACUUAACUGUUACUCUAAAGAGGUACAGCUCUUUAGAAAAAGGAAAUAACCUUAUUUAGAGAGUAAAAUCUUAAUAUUUCAUAGUUGGCUUAAAAGCAGCCAUCAAUUAAAAAAGCGUUCAAGCUUAAUUUCACUUACAUAAUACUUAAUUCUAAUCGUAAAAAUGAUCUCCUAACUCAUACACUGGAACCAAUCCCAUAUAUUAUGGAAGUACUAAUGUUCAAUAUUAGUAACAAGAAAUAUUAUUCUCCCUGCAUAAGUUUAUAUCAGAUCGAAUACUUCACUGAUAGUUAACAUCUCUAUAAUAAUAAACAACAAUUGAAACUCUAUUAUAUAUCAAUGUUAACCCAACACCGGAAUGCACAAGGGAAAGAUUAAAAUGAGUAAAAGGAACUCGGCAAACAUUAACCCCGCCUGUUUACCAAAAACAUCACCUCUAGCAUAACUAGUAUUAGAGGCACUGCCUGCCCAGUGACACAUGUUAAACGGCCGCGGUAUCCUGACCGUGCAAAGGUAGCAUAAUCAUUUGUUCCUUAAAUAGGGACUUGUAUGAAUGGCCUAACGAGGGUUUAACUGUCUCUUACUCCUAAUCAGUGAUAUUGACCUCUCCGUGAAGAGGCGGAGAUACCUAAAUAAGACGAGAAGACCCUAUGGAGCUUUAAAUCUAUUAACCUAAGUACUCUAAUAGCAUUUUCCUUAGGGAUAUUACAUAAAACUAACAGGUUAUAAAUUUUGGUUGGGGUGACCUCGGAGUAUAAACCAACCUCCGAAUGAUAUUAAUCAAGACUUUACUAGUCUAAAUUAUAAUUCACUAAUUGACCCAAAUUAUUGAUCAACGGAACAAGUUACCCUAGGGAUAACAGCGCAAUCCUACUCAAGAGUCCAUAUCGACAGUAGGGUUUACGACCUCGAUGUUGGAUCAGGACAUCCAAAUGGUGUAACCGCUAUUAAUGGUUCGUUUGUUCAACGAUUAAAGUCCUACGUGAUCUGAGUUCAGACCGGAGCAAUCCAGGUCGGUUUCUAUCUAUUAUUAUACUCUUCCCAGUACGAAAGGACAAGAAGAGUGAGGCCUAUCUAAAAGACAUGCCUUUAAGCCUAAAAGAUGAAGUAAUCUAAAUCUUAUAGGCUAUUUACUUUAAUAA